GUGGGGAAUAUUGCACAAUGGGCGCAAGCCUGAUGCAGCAACGCCGCGUGAGGGAUGACGGCCUUCGGGUUGUAAACCUCUUUUAGUAGGGAAGAAGCGUAAGUGACGGUACCUGCAGAAAAAGCACCGGCUAACUACGUGCCAGCAGCCGCGGUAAUACGUAGGGUGCAAGCGUUGUCCGGAAUUAUUGGGCGUAAAGAGCUCGUAGGCGGCUUGUCGCGUCUGCUGUGAAAACCCGAGGCUCAACCUCGGGCUUGCAGUGGGUACGGGCAGGCUAGAGUGCGGUAGGGGAGAUUGGAAUUCCUGGUGUAGCGGUGGAAUGCGCAGAUAUCAGGAGGAACACCGAUGGCGAAGGCAGAUCUCUGGGCCGUAACUGACGCUGAGGAGCGAAAGCAUGGGGAGCGAACAGGAUUAGAUACCCUAGUAGUCC
RNAcentral lists this ribosomal RNA (430 nucleotides) under uncultured bacterium. RNAcentral's name for it is "partial 16S ribosomal RNA". It matches the Rfam family "Bacterial small subunit ribosomal RNA", at positions 354 to 796 of the family's 1533-position model. The record is from RNAcentral.